UUCAAUAUGUGCCUUCUAGGUUAAUGACCUC
Molecule: non-coding RNA, 31 nt
Filed under: Homo sapiens (human)
Lineage: Eukaryota; Metazoa; Chordata; Mammalia; Primates; Hominidae
Source: RNAcentral